UUACUGACGCUAAAGCUCGAAGGUGCGGGUAUCGAACAGGAUUAGAUACCCUGGUAGUCCGCACGGUAAACGAUGGAUGCCCGCUGUUCGCGAUAUACAGUGAGCGGCCAAGAGAAAUCGUUAAGCAUCCCACCUGGGGAGUACGCCGGCAACGGUGAAACUCAAAGGAAUUGACGGGGGCCCGCACAAGCGGAGGAACAUGUGGUUUAAUUCGAUGAUACGCGAGGAACCUUACCCGGGCUUGAACUGCAGGAGAAGGAUACAGAGAUGUUGACGCCCUUCGGGGCUCCUGUGGAGGUGCUGCAUGGUUGUCGUCAGCUCGUGCCGUGAGGUGUCGGCUUAAGUGCCAUAACGAGCGCAACCCUUUUCGUCAGUUGCCAUCAGGUGAUGCUGGGCACUCUGGCGACACUGCCACCGUAAGGUGUGAGGAAGGUGGGGAUGACGUCAAAUCAGCACGGCCCCUACGUCCGGGGCUACACACGUGUUACAAUGGGGCAUACAGAAGGCCGGUCGCCCGCAAGAGCGAUCCAAUCUAAAAAGUGUCCCUCAGUUCGGAUUGGGGUCUGCAACCCGACCCCAUGAAGCUGGAUCGCUAGUAAUC
This 601-nucleotide ribosomal RNA is filed under the name uncultured bacterium. RNAcentral's name for it is "bacterial SSU rRNA". It matches the Rfam family "Bacterial small subunit ribosomal RNA", at positions 737 to 1343 of the family's 1533-position model. The record is from RNAcentral.